GCGCAACCUCAACGGAAGGAAAUUACUCUGUUACCAUAGAUAUUACCAUAACAAAAUACCAAGUGGACAUUUGAAGGAACUCGCAAGACUGGAAAUUUGAUUAGCAACGGUGAAACAGCAAAGCAAUGGCGUCCUACGUGGAACUCUUAUGCGGCCUGGUCGUACUAGCUGUCGCCUUCUACUAUUACCUAGUCUGGAAUUUCGAUUUCUGGAGAAAACGCGGCAUACCUGGACCAGAACCCCAUCUGUUUUUCGGCACCCAUAAGGAUUUAAUCUUUGCAAAAGUAUGCGUAGCGCAUGUGGUCGAGGAUCUUUACAGAAAGUACAGAAAUGCACCAGCAGUUGGCCUGUACAACGGCAGAUCACCUGUCCUCGUUCUGCAUGAUCCAGAACUUAUAAGGACAAUCCUGAUAAAAGAUUUCGCCAACUUCGCAGACCGUCCGCAAAAACCUCAUGCAAGGACGGAACCCCUGUCCUUAAACUUAUUUCAACUAGAUUCGGUAAGAUGGCGGUUGUUGAGACCGAAGCUAACUCCAAUGUUCACGUCAGGAAAAUUGAAAGGCAUGUUCGGUCUGAUGGUGGAAUGUUCGGAGAACUUCGAUAAAUAUUUGGACCAUGUGGUCAUGGAAAAUGAAGUAGUCGAAGUUCUCGAGGCGACUGCGAAGUACACGACCGACGUGAUCGGCAGUUGCGCGUUCGGGAUUAACAUGAACACCAUGGGCCAAGAGGACAGCGAGUUUCGUGAGAAAGGCAAGCUGAUCUUCGAAGGAAAUAUUGAGAACGCGAUACGAUUGAAGCUGAGACUGUUUCUGCCCGGGUUCUACGAUUUGCUUGGUUUCGUGUUCCCUGACAAGAGGUUGGCCCCCUUCUUCACAAAGAUUGUCACGGAAACGAUGAACUACAGGAGGCAGAACAACGUCUACAGACCUGAUUUCAUUCACCUGCUCAUGGAACUUUGGGACAACCCGGAAAGGACGGACUCCCGCGAAAUGACAGACCAAUUGCUCAUUGCACAAGCGUAUUCGUUCUUCUCGGCUGGUUUCGAGACAUCUUCGUCAGCUAUGAGCUGGGCUCUUCUUGAGCUAGCGCAGAAUCACGAAAUACAAGAGAAGUUGCAUCAAGAAAUAAAGGAGUAUAUGAAAAAAUACAACGGUGAAAUCGACUAUACCACUAUGAAAGAGAUGGAAUACUUGGAUAAAGUGUUCAGAGAAACAUUGAGGAAAUAUCCACCAGCGGCGUUGUUAUUACGAACAGCAACUACUGAUUACACUUUCGAGACGUUGAAUCUAUCAAUACCGAAAUCAACAGAAAUAUGGAUUCCAAUGUUUGCGAUACAAAGGGAUCCUGCCAUUUAUCCAGAUCCCCUGAAAUUCGAUCCCGAAAGAUUCACCAAAGAAGCUAUAGCAACCCGACAUCCAAUGUACCAUUUAUCUUUUGGUGACGGACCAAGGAAUUGCAUUGGUAACCGUUUCGCCAUUUUCCAAACAAAACUAGGUCUUCUCAGAAUACUUCUACGCUACAAAGUGGACAUUUGCGAAAAAACUAAGCUUCCAUGUGAAUUCGAUCCCAACGCAUGGCUCUUGUCGCAUAAGGGCGGAAUAUACUUGAAGAUGACGAAAAUUGAAUAAUGUUAACGUAUUUACCGAAGGUAUAGUGGAGCUGUUGAUGAAUACCAAAUUAUUGUCUUCUAAUUUGAUUCUGAAAUAUGUUAACAACAUGCGGACCAACCAGAAAAACAAAAUUGCAUGGAAUGUUAAAGUCAGAUUACUCCUAUUCAGACGUUCGUGAAGAAAACGUUACCAAAACCGAAGAUCAUUCAAGUCAGGAAAUUAAAUUCAUUAGUUCAAGAAAAGAUCGUCUGAAGCAACUGUAUCAGCGUGACGCGGCCGAGCUAGAAAUAUUGCUUCGCGCCUGGGGUUACGCUUUCAUUCCCACACAACCUUGACCUUUCUUCGCUGCAUACUCUUUGUCUAUUCGGGCGACCUUGACUACAAUGAGCCAAUACUGAACACAACACUUCCACCGCUUUCGAAUUAAACAGGCAUCGUCAGCACUUCUUCCACUUAAACUAACCUUUUAUCUGGUGAGGACGAGUUAUCUCGUCACUCAUCUUUGUUAGCACGAUAUAAUAAACAUUUUUCUACAGUCAA
Molecule: RNA transcript, 2150 nt
Organism: Megalopta genalis
Lineage: Eukaryota; Metazoa; Arthropoda; Insecta; Hymenoptera; Halictidae
Gene name: putative cytochrome P450 6a13
Source: RefSeq, a predicted model, not a curated record